GGGGCCUGGCGGCGUGCUAUACAUGCAGUCGAACGCUUCUUUUUCCACCGGAGCUUGCUCCACCGGAAAAAGAGGAGUGGCGAACGGGUGAGUAACACGUGGGUAACCUGCCCAUCAGAAGGGGAUAACACUUGGAAACAGGUGCUAAUACCGUAUAACAAUCGAAACCGCAUGGUUUUGAUUUGAAAGGCGCUUUCGGGUGUCGCUGAUGGAUGGACCCGCGGUGCAUUAGCUAGUUGGUGAGGUAACGGCUCACCAAGGCCACGAUGCAUAGCCGACCUGAGAGGGUGAUCGGCCACAUUGGGACUGAGACACGGCCCAAACUCCUACGGGAGGCAGCAGUAGGGAAUCUUCGGCAAUGGACGAAAGUCUGACCGAGCAACGCCGCGUGAGUGAAGAAGGUUUUCGGAUCGUAAAACUCUGUUGUUAGAGAAGAACAAGGAUGAGAGUAACUGUUCAUCCCUUGACGGUAUCUAACCAGAAAGCCACGGCUAACUACGUGCCAGCAGCCGCGGUAAUACGUAGGUGGCAAGCGUUGUCCGGAUUUAUUGGGCGUAAAGCGAGCGCAGGCGGUUUCUUAAGUCUGAUGUGAAAGCCCCCGGCUCAACCGGGGAGGGUCAUUGGAAACUGGGAGACUUGAGUGCAGAAGAGGAGAGUGGAAUUCCAUGUGUAGCGGUGAAAUGCGUAGAUAUAUGGAGGAACACCAGUGGCGAAGGCGGCUCUCUGGUCUGUAACUGACGCUGAGGCUCGAAAGCGUGGGGAGCAAACAGGAUUAGAUACCCUGGUAGUCCACGCCGUAAACGAUGAGUGCUAAGUGUUGGAGGGUUUCCGCCCUUCAGUGCUGCAGCUAACGCAUUAAGCACUCCGCCUGGGGAGUACGACCGCAAGGUUGAAACUCAAAGGAAUUGACGGGGGCCCGCACAAGCGGUGGAGCAUGUGGUUUAAUUCGAAGCAACGCGAAGAACCUUACCAGGUCUUGACAUCCUUUGACC
This 992-nucleotide ribosomal RNA is filed under the name Enterococcus faecium. RNAcentral describes it as "bacterial SSU rRNA". It matches the Rfam family "Bacterial small subunit ribosomal RNA", at positions 31 to 996 of the family's 1533-position model. The record is from RNAcentral. Lineage: Bacteria; Bacillati; Bacillota; Bacilli; Lactobacillales; Enterococcaceae.